RNAcentral lists this ribosomal RNA (533 nucleotides) under uncultured bacterium. RNAcentral's name for it is "bacterial SSU rRNA". It matches the Rfam family "Bacterial small subunit ribosomal RNA", at positions 977 to 1509 of the family's 1533-position model. The record is from RNAcentral.
GGCCUUGACAUACUAAGAACUUUCCAGAGAUGGAUUGGUGCCUUCGGGAACUUAGAUACAGGUGCUGCAUGGCUGUCGUCAGCUCGUGUCGUGAGAUGUUGGGUUAAGUCCCGNAACGAGCGCAACCCUCUUCCUUAUUUGCCAGCGGGUAAUGCCGGGAACUUUAAGGAUACUGCCAGUGACAAACUGGAGGAAGGCGGGGACGACGUCAAGUCAUCAUGGCCCUUACGGCCAGGGCUACACACGUGCUACAAUGGUCGGUACAAAGGGUUGCUACCUCGCGAGAGGAUGCUAAUCUCAAAAAGCCGAUCGUAGUCCGGAUCGCAGUCUGCAACUCGACUGCGUGAAGUCGGAAUCGCUAGUAAUCGCGGAUCAGAAUGCCGCGGUGAAUACGUUCCCGGGCCUUGUACACGCCGCCCGUCACACCAUGGGAGUUUGUUGCACCAGAAGUAGGUAGUCUAACCGCAAGGAGGACGCUUACCACGGUGUGGCCGAUGACUGGGGUGAAGUCGUAACAAGGUAAGCGUAGAUGA